UCGCCGUAGAAGGACCUAGGGCUAGGGUUUCGGAGAGUUGAGUUAGGGAGUAGUUGCGCCUGGGUAAGGGGGGAGCUCACAGGGUAGCUGUUGGGAAGAGAGGCGUGGCUGCCGUGCCGCCACCGCCCGCUGUGCGUGCACGAGCGAUGGAGGAGGAAGAAAGGGAGAAGGACAGACUUGCCAGAGGAAAAGAAUGUCGGGGGGUUAGGAGCAAAAUAUUCAGGUUUAAGUGUUAGGUGGGAUUUCUCCUAGGGACCUGAGCGCAUAGAUCCGAGGGCUGUUCUAUAAAAAGAAGGGCAGAUCCGUUGGGAAACAAGGUUCCUAGGUCCCUCGGUGUGAAAGUAGUCUAGUUAAAAUUUGUAAAUCUUGGAUGAAACUUGUGAAAUCCAUAGUAAAUAGUAGGAAAAUAUUGAAAUUCAAGCUAAUUUUUGUUGGCUUCUUGAUGCUCAUUUCUACCUAGAAAAAUAUUUGUUCAUGUGAAGUCUAUCUUUCUGUUGCUCAAUAAAAUUCAUGUUGUUUAACCUCCUUAAUUUGGAAUAAAUAGCUAUAUUGCUCUAAAAAUUCUGAUACAUUCUCAGUAACAUACUGCAGUAUUGAUAGAUAUUAUGGGAAGUUUUUUGCACUAGAAUGCUGAUAGAUCUUUAGUUAUAAUUC
Molecule: long non-coding RNA, 654 nt
Filed under: Setaria italica (foxtail millet)
Lineage: Eukaryota; Viridiplantae; Streptophyta; Magnoliopsida; Poales; Poaceae
Description: long non-coding RNA (SITA_LNC004901)
Source: RNAcentral